RNAcentral lists this unclassified non-coding RNA (225 nucleotides) under plant metagenome. Its description in RNAcentral is "partial contains small subunit ribosomal RNA, internal transcribed spacer 1, and 5.8S ribosomal RNA". The record is from RNAcentral.
UUUCCGUAGGUGAACCUGCGGAAGGAUCAUUAGUGAAUUGAAUAUGUUAGCGGACCUCUUCGGAGUCCCUAGCAUCAAAUCAUAUCCAUAACACCUGUGAACUGUAAGGCUGUCUUGGAAACGAAAGUGAUUCGAGCGCCUGCCCAUUUUAUACAAACAUUAAAGUAACAAUCGUAGUCUUAUUAUAAUCUAAUAAAACUUUCAACAACGGAUCUCUUGGUUCUC